UUAAGUGCUCUGCUAUGAGAACUGAAUUCCAUAGAUGGUGGCGUCUUCAGGUGUCGUCUAUGGGCUCAGUUCUUUUGGUAUGGUACCACUAU
Non-coding RNA from Xyrichtys novacula (pearly razorfish), 92 nucleotides. The record is from the annotation of a GenBank genome assembly. Lineage: Eukaryota; Metazoa; Chordata; Actinopteri; Labriformes; Labridae.